GAUCUUUAUAAAUUAAAUAAUUAAAUAAAAAUUAGUUAAAUUAUUUUUUUAGUUGUUAAUUUAUUAUAUUGGGGUAAUAAUAAAAUUUUAUAAAUUUUUAUUUAUUUUAUUCAAUUAUAGUUGUUUAAUUGAUCCAGUAUUAUUGAUUAAAAAUUUAAGUUACCUUAGGGAUAACAGCGUAAUGAUUUUUGAGAGUUCUUAUCGAUAAAAUAGUUUGU
RNAcentral lists this ribosomal RNA (218 nucleotides) under Nyssomyia flaviscutellata. RNAcentral's name for it is "partial 16S ribosomal RNA". The record is from RNAcentral. Lineage: Eukaryota; Metazoa; Arthropoda; Insecta; Diptera; Psychodidae.